Lutra lutra (Eurasian river otter) is the source of this 1780-nucleotide long non-coding RNA. RefSeq lists it as uncharacterized. Lineage: Eukaryota; Metazoa; Chordata; Mammalia; Carnivora; Mustelidae. The transcript has 3 exons. The record is from RefSeq and is a predicted model, not a curated record.
CCGCCGUAGUCUGGCCGUGCGCCUGCACACCCGCUCCCCUCCGCGUUGCACACGCCUGCCCCCGGGCGCCGCGGAGCCCUCGCGGGUGGGGAGAGGUGAGGGAACAGCUCUGUCGUGGGUGCCCUUUGCUCCCGGCCGCAGCCGUCUAGAACGCCUGAAGCCCCUAGCGGAGAAGAGAGACGGCUGGGGAGUGGGGGGAGGCAGAGCAGGACUUGGUGAGCUCCAACCCCUAACCCCCCGCCCCCAUUAUUAAUUCUUUCUCGGGGUAGUAGGAGGGGAAGCACCAGUAGGAUGGCCUGUGGACACAGGGCUUUCAGUGGGCCCUCUUAGAAACUUGAGUGGCUCUGUGGCCGCUGAAGGCCUCCAAACUGUGAGACUUGGCAGAGUAACUAGGUGUGAGCACCGGGCGGAGCGGUGCUGGGUGAAGGUGGGAGGGCCCAUUCCUAAGGCCAAAUGCACUGGGAAGGCAAACGGGGGAGUUGGAGAAACUAGCUGAAUGCCGUAGGGACUGGUGUUCUACCUCGUGGAACUGCUGGAAGAAUCAGAUGAGAUACUUUGUGUCAUUAACAUCUUCGUCUUACAGCUGAGGAAUCUGGGGCACACAGAAGAAAAGCAUCGCCAUCCCCUGGGCUAAGAGGAUGGUGGGACCACAUCACAGAAGGACCUGAGUCCCCGAUUGACUAUGUGGAGUGGAACUGUCCAGCCCUGUAUCCCGCCAACCUGAACUGACCUGUAAAGGAAGUCAGAAACAAAUUUUCAUUCUGUUAAUGCAUUAAACCUUCAGGUUAUUUGUCCCAGUAGUUGGCCUAUCCUCAUUAAUGCAAGAGAGACGUAAACACGCGGACUAUCCUGGGUAGCAGUGGAGUGGUUCUUCUUCCCCUGACCCGGCAGUGUGGGAGUUGUUGGAGAGCUCUCUUACUGGCUUCCAGUGCCUUUUAAAAAUUACUGAUGAGUGUGAGAAACACUCUAGGAUCUCAAGUCAGCAACAUGCUCCAGAAAAUAACGCUCAUGAUGGCGGCUGAGUUGCGAGUGAUUUAACUGAAUAAAUAAACAGUAUAGGAAAAAGAGAUCCCAGUGAUUACUGGGGCGUGUACUCAGUUAGGGGUCAGGUGGGGGAGGUCAAACUGGAACAAUCUGGAAAGCUCUUCUAUGCGUCCUGCCCCUCCAGAGCUAGAAGAAUGGAAGCUAAAGCAGAUACUGAUUCGAUGGCACCUUCUUUCUUCUAACAGCAGUGUGUGUGAUGUCCUUCUCUUUCUUCAGUGAAAAACUCUAGGGGAAAGGGAACUCAGAAUGAGAUCAAGAUAAACUUUCCCAGGAUCUCUGCAUUGCUGAAAGUGACCGUGGCGUCUCCGUGGGAAUCUGAAUGAAGGCGAGGGCCAUCCACAGUGUAUCUGUAUCUUUGGACUGUGUUUUGUUUAGACGGGGAACAAUCUAGUCCGUGAUCUAUACAUUCACCCCCAGUGGCCAUUUGGGUUCCUUGCCCCACUGCCUUCCUGGGGGAGAAUGAAGAUAUUUAUCCUCCCACAGGUUUUGUUUCUUUGCUUUAACAGAACACACUGAUCUUGAAACAAUAAAGCCAGUUACAGAUUAACUGAUCCCAGAGUCUCAGUUUCAUGGAACCAUCAAAGUCCAAGUUGGAUAGCUCUGGCUAAGAUUAUUUAUGAGGUCCUACCCAAAUGUAUUCUAUGCAAGUUGCAAGCUAAGUCAGCUGACAACACUGCGUCUUUCCUCCUGCUCCCCUAUCCAGCUAGACUGAGGAUUGCAAACUGGCAUCAGCAGC